RNAcentral lists this ribosomal RNA (639 nucleotides) under Borreliella garinii. Its description in RNAcentral is "bacterial SSU rRNA". It matches the Rfam family "Bacterial small subunit ribosomal RNA", at positions 41 to 673 of the family's 1533-position model. The record is from RNAcentral. Lineage: Bacteria; Pseudomonadati; Spirochaetota; Spirochaetia; Spirochaetales; Borreliaceae.
AGUGCGUCUUAAGCAUGCAAGUCAAACGGGAUGUAGCAAUACAUCUAGUGGCGAACGGGUGAGUAACGCGUGGAUGAUCUACCUACGAGAUGGGGAUAACUAUUAGAAAUAGUAGCUAAUACCGAAUAAAGUCAAUUAAUUUGUUAAUUGAUGAAAGGAAGCCUUUAAAGCUUCGCUUGUAGAUGAGUCUGCGUCUUAUUAGCUAGUUGGUAGGGUAAAUGCCUACCAAGGCGAUGAUAAGUAACCGGCCUGAGAGGGUGAACGGUCACACUGGAACUGAGAUACGGUCCAGACUCCUACGGGAGGCAGCAGCUAAGAAUCUUCCGCAAUGGGCGAAAGCCUGACGGAGCGACACUGCGUGAAUGAAGAAGGUCGAAAGAUUGUAAAAUUCUUUUAUAAAUGAGGAAUAAGCUUUGUAGGAAAUGACGAAGUGAUGACGUUAAUUUAUGAAUAAGCCCCGGCUAAUUACGUGCCAGCAGCCGCGGUAAUACGUAAGGGGCGAGCGUUGUUCGGGAUUAUUGGGCGUAAAGGGUGAGUAGGCGGAUAUAUAAGUCUAUGCAUAAAAUACCACAGCUCAACUGUGGAACUAUGUUGGAAACUAUAUGUCUAGAGUCUGAUAGAGGAAGUUAGAAUUUCUGG